UGGCAAUCUGCGAGUUGGAUUUGCAGAAGCAGCAUAAAUGGAUCUACUUUGGGGUAUCCCUCAAAUUAGAUACUCCAUUUCUAUCUGCUACUACGUACCUUCAAAGUGGAAUUACUAGUGCAUUAUAGAGGGUGGUAGACCCCAGCUUAAAACCAAUAGAAGUUUACUUGUAAAUAUUUGUGCGUUGGGUUGAAAAGUGAAUGUUAGUUCAAGAAAUGAUGAGCUUCAAGCGUUAUUUUAAGAGUAUCUUGCACCUACAGUGUAUCAUUGGCUAGAUAAGCUAGGCUUCGGUUUGUUCAAGGACGAUCAUGCAUCACCAUGUAAUAAAUUUUGAACAUGUUUUAUUCACUAAGCUUGAAUUCUAAGCAGGUUUUUUAGUUGGUUCUAUUUCUAUAUCAAUG
Molecule: unclassified non-coding RNA, 401 nt
Filed under: Hevea brasiliensis (rubber tree)
Lineage: Eukaryota; Viridiplantae; Streptophyta; Magnoliopsida; Malpighiales; Euphorbiaceae
Source: RNAcentral